GAGUACAGCUGGUUCCCAGGGAGGCUGGGGGUGAUUCACCACACUCUUAAAACAAGACUAGCCUCGUUUCCUCCCCAGCUCAAGGGGUAGAUUCCUCUGCUCUGGCAGCAGAUCUCCCAGAGGGAGCGGCCUGACCACGUCACUGGCCCAGAAGAGGAGGCGUCUGUCCCCCAGACUAGCUGAAGGAAAGGCUGGCUUGGAUGAUGCUCUGCUCUCCCCUUGCCCUUCUCCUGGGCACUUUCUUCGGGGUCAGAUCUCAGACUAUUCAUCAAUGGCCAGCGACCCUGGUGCAGCCUGUGGGCAGCCGGCUCUCUCUGGAGUGCACUGUGGAGGGAACAUCAAACCCCAACCUAUACUGGUACCGACAGGCUGCAGGCAGGGGCCUCCAGCUGCUCUUCUACUCCGUUGGUGUUGGCCAGAUCAGCUCUGAGGUGCCCCAGAAUCUCUCAGCCUCCAGGCCCCAGGACAGGCAGUUCAUCCUGAGUUCUAAGAAGCUCCUCCUUAGUGACUCUGGCUUCUAUCUCUGUGCCUGGAGUGUCACACUGAGCUGGGAGAGCUUCCAGGAUUUGCAUCUGAUUUUGCAGAUGUGCCAGGAUGACUAUGUCCAUACGUCUACUUCCCUGGCCAGUUGCACAUGGAAGAUUCAGGGCCACAUGCUGGUGGCCAGAGGCACUGUCCCCAAGAUGCUUCACAUAGAUCUUAGCCACCCACGGGACUUAUAA
Molecule: non-coding RNA, 722 nt
Organism: Mandrillus leucophaeus (drill)
Lineage: Eukaryota; Metazoa; Chordata; Mammalia; Primates; Cercopithecidae
Source: the annotation of a RefSeq genome assembly